CUACGGGGGGCUGCAGUAAGGAAUAUUGCGCAAUGGAGGCAACUCUGACGCAGCCAUGCCGCGUGCAGGAAGAAGGCCUUAUGGGUCGUAAACUGCUUUUAUUUAGGAAUAAACCCCCGAACGUGUUCGGGGCUGAAGGUACUAAACGAAUAAGCACCGGCUAACUCCGUGCCAGCAGCCGCGGUAAUACGGAGGGUGCAAGCGUUAUCCGGAUUUAUUGGGUUUAAAGGGUGCGCAGGCGGGCUGUUAAGUCAGUGGUGAAAUCCCGGGGCUCAACUCCGGAACUGCCAUUGAUACUGAUAGUCUUGAGUUUGGUUGAAGUGGGCGGAAUGUAGCAUGUAGCGGUGAAAUGCAUAGAUAUGCUACAGAACACCAAUCGCGAAGGCAGCUCACUAAGCCAAAACUGACGCUCAUGCACGAAAGCGUGGGGAUCAAACAGGAUUAGAUACCCCUGUAGUC
This 459-nucleotide ribosomal RNA is filed under the name uncultured bacterium. RNAcentral describes it as "partial 16S ribosomal RNA". It matches the Rfam family "Bacterial small subunit ribosomal RNA", at positions 339 to 795 of the family's 1533-position model. The record is from RNAcentral.